GAGUUUGAUCCUGGCUCAGAUUGAACGCUGGCGGCAUGCCUUACACAUGCAAGUCGAACGGCAGCACGGGAGCUUGCUCCUGGUGGCGAGUGGCGAACGGGUGAGUAAUGCAUCGGAACGUAUCCUGGAGUGGGGGAUAACGUAGCGAAAGUUACGCUAAUACCGCAAAUUCUGUGAGCAGGAAAGCGGGGGACCUUCGGGCCUCGCGCUCUUGGAGCGGCCGAUGUCGGAUUAGCUAGUUGGUGAGGUAAAGGCUCACCAAGGCGACGAUCCGUAGCAGGUCUGAGAGGAUGAUCUGCCACACUGGAACUGAGACACGGUCCAGACUCCUACGGGAGGCAGCAGUGGGGAAUUUUGGACAAUGGGGGCAACCCUAAUCCAGCCAUGCCGCGUGAGUGAAGAAGGCC
Molecule: ribosomal RNA, 407 nt
Filed under: bacterium enrichment culture clone ALO1_GLFRUDD03GGQA2
Lineage: Bacteria
Description: bacterial SSU rRNA
Rfam family: Bacterial small subunit ribosomal RNA
Source: RNAcentral